UACGUAGGGGGCUAGCGUUGUCCGGAAUCAUUGGGCGUAAAGCGCGUGUAGGCGGCCCGGUAAGUCCGCUGUGAAAGUCGGGGGCUCAACCCUCGAAUGCCGGUGGAUACUGUCGGGCUCGAGUACGGAAGAGGCGAGUGGAAUUCCUGGUGUAGCGGUGAAAUGCGUAGAGAUCAGGAGGAAUACCGGUGGCGAAAGCGACUCUCUGGACGGCAACUGACGCUGAGGCACGAAAGCGUGGGGAGCAAACAGG
Molecule: ribosomal RNA, 253 nt
Filed under: uncultured bacterium
Lineage: Bacteria
Description: partial 16S ribosomal RNA
Rfam family: Bacterial small subunit ribosomal RNA
Source: RNAcentral